Molecule: ribosomal RNA, 357 nt
Filed under: uncultured bacterium
Lineage: Bacteria
Description: partial 16S ribosomal RNA
Rfam family: Bacterial small subunit ribosomal RNA
Source: RNAcentral
CCUACGUGUGGCUGCAGUGAGGAAUAUUGGUCAAUGGGAGAGAUCCUGAACCAGCCAAGCCGCGUGAGGGAAGACGGCCCUAUGGGUUGUAAACCUCUUUUGUCGGAGCACAAAACCCGGGACGUGUCCCGGACUGCGUGUAUCCGAAGAAAAAGCAUCGGCUAACUCCGUGCCAGCAGCCGCGGUACUACGGAGGCUGCGCGGGGUAUCCGGAUUUCGUGGGUUUAAAGGGUGCGUGGGCGGUCCGUUAAGUCAGCGGUAAAAGUGCGGGGCUCACCCCCGUCGAGCGGUUGAAACGGGCAGACUGGAGUUGGGGAGAGGUACGGGGAGGGCGCGGUGUAGCGGUGAAAUGCAGAG